AACGUAGGUGGCAAGCGUUAUCCGGAUUUACUGGGCGUAAAGGGUGUGCAGGCGGGGGUGCAAGUGGUGUAUGAAAUCUCCCGGCUUAACCGGGAGGGGUUAUGCCAGACUGCAAUUCUAGAGGACGAGAGAGGGGGGUGGAAUUCCGGGUGUAGUGGUGAAAUGCGUAGAGAUCCGGAGGAACCCCAGAGGCGAAGGCGGCCCCCUGGCUCGUACCUGACGCUCAGCCACGAAAGCAUGGGGAGCGAACGGG
RNAcentral lists this ribosomal RNA (253 nucleotides) under uncultured bacterium. RNAcentral describes it as "partial 16S ribosomal RNA". It matches the Rfam family "Bacterial small subunit ribosomal RNA", at positions 524 to 776 of the family's 1533-position model. The record is from RNAcentral.